Molecule: non-coding RNA, 75 nt
Organism: Haemonchus placei
Lineage: Eukaryota; Metazoa; Nematoda; Chromadorea; Rhabditida; Trichostrongylidae
Source: Rfam
GGCAUAAACUUGAAGCGGAGUAGAUUAGUAUGGUCAGAUGAUCAUUCUGCUCUACUCUACUUCAAAUUUGGGCCC